UACGUAGGGUGCGAGCGUUACUCGGAAUUACUGGGCGUAAAGCGUGCGCAGGCGGUCUGUUAAGUCCGAUGUGAAAUCCCCGGGCUUAACCUGGGAACUGCAUUGGUGACUGGCAGGCUUUGAGUGUGGCAGAGGGAGGUAGAAUUCCACGUGUAGCAGUGAAAUGCGUAGAGAUGUGGAGGAAUACCGAUGGCGAAGGCAGCCUCCUGGGCCAACACUGACGCUCAGGCACGAAAGCGUGGGGAGCAAACAGG
Molecule: ribosomal RNA, 254 nt
Filed under: uncultured bacterium
Lineage: Bacteria
Description: partial 16S ribosomal RNA
Rfam family: Bacterial small subunit ribosomal RNA
Source: RNAcentral